RNAcentral lists this ribosomal RNA (253 nucleotides) under uncultured bacterium. Its description in RNAcentral is "partial 16S ribosomal RNA". It matches the Rfam family "Bacterial small subunit ribosomal RNA", at positions 524 to 776 of the family's 1533-position model. The record is from RNAcentral.
UACAGAGGUCUCGAGCGUUAGGCGGAAUCACUGGGCUUAAAGCGUGUGUAGGCGGGUCGUUAAGUGCCUUGUGAAAUCCCAUGGCUCAACCAUGGAACUGCUGGGCAUACUGGCGAUCUUGUGCCACCUAGGGGCGAGCGGAACAGAUGGUGGAGCGGUGAAAUGCGUAGAUAUCGGAAGGAACACCGGUGGCGAAAGCGGCGCGCUGGAUCUCUUCUGACGCUGAGGCGCGAAAGCCAGGGGAGCAAACGGG